Molecule: small RNA, 147 nt
Filed under: Sinorhizobium meliloti 2011
Lineage: Bacteria; Pseudomonadati; Pseudomonadota; Alphaproteobacteria; Hyphomicrobiales; Rhizobiaceae
Description: putative ncRNA
Source: RNAcentral
AUCAUCGGGAAACGCGGGCUGCCUUUUCUUCGUAGGGAGAAGGUGGCGGUCCGGACAUGAUGAUACAACAUACCAGAUAAGAUCCCAUGGAGCUUCGAGUUGGCGGUGCCAAGCCGUCGGACAACAGUCCGGCGGCUAGCAAGGGCU